RNAcentral lists this transfer RNA (77 nucleotides) under Burkholderiales bacterium. RNAcentral's name for it is "tRNA-Asp". It matches the Rfam family "tRNA". From Rfam's summary of the family: Transfer RNA (tRNA) molecules are approximately 80 nucleotides in length. Lineage: Bacteria; Pseudomonadati; Pseudomonadota; Betaproteobacteria; Burkholderiales. The record is from RNAcentral.
GGAGUGGUAGUCCAGUCGGUUAGAAUACCGGCCUGUCACGCCGGGGGUCGCGGGUUCGAGUCCCGUCCACUCCGCCA